UACGUUGUUAUAAUAACUGCUUUAUUGC
RNAcentral lists this non-coding RNA (28 nucleotides) under Rattus norvegicus (Norway rat). Lineage: Eukaryota; Metazoa; Chordata; Mammalia; Rodentia; Muridae. The record is from RNAcentral.